CUCAUGCAAGAAGAAACAAACAAAGAGAUGAUAUGAGUUUUGAAAGCUCAUCUUCACCUUUAAAAACCCCCAAAAGCUUUCUGCAAUGACAGAAACAGAGAUUUGAAGCUGAAGAAGAUAAAGAGAAAGAAAGAAGAAUGAGUUCUCGGGAUCGAAAGAAAGCUGCCCUCUAUAGAAAGAUACAACGACUUCGUUCUGUCACCAACUCCAGUGCCGUAAAUAAGACCUCAAUCAUAGUAGAUGCAUCCAAGUAUAUAGAGGAGCUGAAGGGAAAAGUAGAGAGGCUAAGCCAAGAUGUUGCAAGUUCACAAAGUUCAAAUGGACAAAACUCAUUGCCAAUGCAAGUUACUGUAGAAACCCUAGAAAAGGGUUUCCUAAUUAAUGUGUUUUCGGAAAAAAAUUGUCCCGGGUUGCUUGUGACCAUACUGCAAGCCUUUGAAGAGCUGGGCCUCGACGUGCUUGAUGCUAAUGUUUCCUGUUCAGACAAUUUCCGUUUAGAAGCUGUUGGAGGAGAAAUACAUAUCCUGGUCGAUACACAUUGAGUAUUUACCUUUAUGAUAUAUACCACUCGGUAUACUAAGGAGAACGUAAAUCACAUUCAUAUAGAAUCAAGGACAGGAUGAUAAUAUAGAUGCUCAAGUGGUAAAACAAGCGGUGUUGCAAGCCAUCAGGAACUGGAGUGAGAGCAAUGAAUAAGAAUUAUAAUCUGUAUCAUUUCUUGUUUUCUUCUGUUACCUUCUCUUUCUCUCUUCCUCUUGUUUCUAUUUCUUUGUUGUUGACAACUAUGGUUAUCUAAUGAAGGGAAGCUUAAAGGUUUCUUUCUAGUUGUAAAAAUUAAGCAACCUCUAGAUUCAAAAGUAUAAAAAUAAAAAAUUUUGCACUAUAUGCUAAACA
Molecule: non-coding RNA, 894 nt
Organism: Camellia sinensis
Lineage: Eukaryota; Viridiplantae; Streptophyta; Magnoliopsida; Ericales; Theaceae
Source: RefSeq, a predicted model, not a curated record